AUGAGGAAGAUGCCUCUAACCUUACUGUUGGAACUUUCAAGAGAGCCAGUAAUGAGAUUCUGGCAGCAGCAUGCAUGGUUGAGACGCUGUCUAUUUAUUCCGGUUAAUCCAAAAGCCGCAUACUCUUUGAUCCUGAAGACUGCAGAAACAAGAAUAACAGGUGAUUUCUUGUUUGAUGACAUGGCGGAGCUUUCUGAAUUCAAAUGGCAUAGUACAUUCAGAUGA
This is a non-coding RNA of Vicia faba (fava bean), 225 nucleotides long. The record is from the annotation of a GenBank genome assembly. NCBI's taxonomy places the organism in Eukaryota, Viridiplantae, Streptophyta, Magnoliopsida, Fabales, Fabaceae.